This 141-nucleotide ribosomal RNA is filed under the name uncultured eukaryote. RNAcentral's name for it is "partial 18S ribosomal RNA". It matches the Rfam family "Eukaryotic small subunit ribosomal RNA", at positions 1299 to 1458 of the family's 1831-position model. The record is from RNAcentral.
UGGUGGAGUGAUUUGUCUGGUUAAUUCCGUUAACGAACGAGACCUCGACCUGCUAAAUAGCUUUUGGAUGCAAUUUGGAUCUACUUAAGCUUCUUAGAGGGACUUUGGGCGGGUAACCUAUGGAAGUUCGAGGCAAUAACA